UACGUAGGGUGCAAGCGUUGUCCGGAAUUAUUGGGCGUAAAGAGCUCGUAGGCGGUUUGUCGCGUCGAAUGUGAAAACCCGGGGCUCAACCCCGGGCCUGCAUUCGAUACGGGCAGACUAGAGUUCGGUAGGGGAGUCUGGAAUUCCUGGUGUAGAGGUGAAAUUCGUAGAUAUCGGGAGGAACACCAGUGGCGAAGGCGGCGAUCUGGGAAGAUACUGACGCUGAGGUGCGAAAGCGUGGGGAGCAAACAGG
RNAcentral lists this ribosomal RNA (253 nucleotides) under uncultured bacterium. Its description in RNAcentral is "partial 16S ribosomal RNA". It matches the Rfam family "Bacterial small subunit ribosomal RNA", at positions 524 to 776 of the family's 1533-position model. The record is from RNAcentral.